Molecule: non-coding RNA, 101 nt
Filed under: Nocardioides sp.
Lineage: Bacteria; Bacillati; Actinomycetota; Actinomycetes; Propionibacteriales; Nocardioidaceae
Also listed under: 1 other name
Description: Glycine sequence
Rfam family: Glycine riboswitch aptamer
About the family: This family represents the bacterial glycine riboswitch. Glycine riboswitches usually consist of two metabolite-binding aptamers domains with similar structures in tandem.
Source: RNAcentral
CUAUCCCGCGCGGGAGAGUCUCCGGGUCGCUGGCCGGCCCGGGGCGCCGAAGGGGCAAUUCCUCCCCGGAACCUCUCAGGCACCCGGACCGCGCGGUCGAG